UACGUAGGUGGCAAGCGUUGUUCGGAGUUACUGGGCGUAAAGGGUGUGUAGGCGGUUGUUUAAGUUUGGUGUGAAAUCUCCCGGCUCAACUGGGAGGGUGCGCCGAAUACUGAAUGACUUGGAGUGCGGGAGAGGAAAGUGGAAUUCCUGGUGUAGCGGUGAAAUGCGUAGAUAUCAGGAGGAACACCGGUGGUGUAGACGGCUUUCUGGACCGUAACUGACGCUGAGACACGAAAGCGUGGGUAGCAAACAGG
This 254-nucleotide ribosomal RNA is filed under the name uncultured bacterium. RNAcentral's name for it is "partial 16S ribosomal RNA". It matches the Rfam family "Bacterial small subunit ribosomal RNA", at positions 524 to 776 of the family's 1533-position model. The record is from RNAcentral.